Molecule: transfer RNA, 72 nt
Filed under: Camelus bactrianus (Bactrian camel)
Lineage: Eukaryota; Metazoa; Chordata; Mammalia; Artiodactyla; Camelidae
Also listed under: 1 other name
Rfam family: tRNA
About the family: Transfer RNA (tRNA) molecules are approximately 80 nucleotides in length. Their secondary structure includes four short double-helical elements and three loops (D, anti-codon, and T loops). Further hydrogen bonds mediate the characteristic L-shaped molecular structure. tRNAs have two regions of fundamental functional importance: the anti-codon, which is responsible for specific mRNA codon recognition, and the 3' end, to which the tRNAs corresponding amino acid is attached (by aminoacyl-tRNA synthetases). tRNAs cope with the degeneracy of the genetic code in two manners: having more than one tRNA (with a specific anti-codon) for a particular amino acid; and 'wobble' base-pairing, i.e. permitting non-standard base-pairing at the 3rd anti-codon position.
Source: Rfam by way of RNAcentral
GAAGGCGUAGCUCAGUGUUGGAGUGUGUGCUUAGCGUGCACAAGGUCCUGAGUUCAAUCCCCAGUCCCUCCA